UUUUAAAAAAAUUUUAUAAUUUUCUGAUUUAGUUUUUACUGUCUCUUAUGACCUUUUGGUUUAAAAUAAGUGGAAGGGUGGAACUUAGAUUUCAGUACUUCCGGUGUUUAUUUUGAUAUAAGUCAAAAAAAAAAUGUAAUUCAAGUUAUGUUAGACCUCCACCCUAUUUGUUCCUAACUUCCACAUCUAGUUUUGUUUAGUUCGGGUAUAAGUAAGAACUAGCUAUUACAGGGAUAAAUACAAAUAUGAGGAUAAGAAAAAUAACGUUUGGAUGAAAAUUGGAUUGUUUCCGAAAAUAAGAAAAAUAGUGUUUUGAUAAAUAAUAUGGAAUAAGAAAAAUAGUGGAUAGUUAUAUAUAGAAAAUGAAGGUGUUAGUGGGAAUAGUUAUACCAGCUUAUUUCAGGUACCUGAAAAUUACUAUUCUCGGGUAAAAUAAUUUACGUUUGGGUAUAAAAGGGAUAAGGGGUUAUCCCUACUCUUAUCCGUGAUCCAAACGCUGCCUAGAGUGUCGAACUCAAGUUCCACCACAUUCAACCUUCUCUAAAAAAUUAAUUAAAUAUUAAAACUAAACUCUAUUUUACACUGGGUUAGAAUUACCUCUUGACAAAUAUGGGUUAGAUUAACUUUAAAUAAUAAUAGAGAAUUUAAUAAUUUAAUAUGUUGAAUUUUGUAGGGAUAAGUUUAUCAUUAUAUUUAGGAGAUAACUGGAUUUAUUUACUUACAUCAAAAUAAAUAAUAGACCUCAAAAAACUAGUUACAUUAGUAUCAAGUACUUACACCAAAAUAAAUAAAUAAAAUGCUUAAAUUUAAUUUUCAAAAUAUGAGUUAUAUCAAAAUAAAUAACAAAAAAAUAACUACACUUAAAAAAAAAACUCCAACAAUAUUAUACUUAAGUUACGUUGAAUCUAGAAAUUCGUCAAUCCAAGGGCCCCUUAA
RNAcentral lists this long non-coding RNA (936 nucleotides) under Ananas comosus (pineapple). Its description in RNAcentral is "long non-coding RNA (ACOM_LNC006739)". Lineage: Eukaryota; Viridiplantae; Streptophyta; Magnoliopsida; Poales; Bromeliaceae. The record is from RNAcentral.